Molecule: long non-coding RNA, 598 nt
Organism: Octopus bimaculoides (California two-spot octopus)
Lineage: Eukaryota; Metazoa; Mollusca; Cephalopoda; Octopoda; Octopodidae
Source: RefSeq, a predicted model, not a curated record
GGAGAUAAAGAGAAAUCUGUUUUAUAAUGUUCAGAGUAUCAUUAUUUUUGCUGAUGAAGCGCUGAUAAAAUUUGAUGCCUCAUCCACUGAAAACCAUGUGCUAAAUGAAACAACAUUAUCCAAAUCUUCUAAUUAUUUGUCAGUAAUUCAUUUCUAAAGACGAAGACAAAACGCUUAGAAAGACAGAGGAUGUGCUGAAGAAAAGAAUUUAAUUUUGAAUGUCUUACACUAACUAGCAUUUAAACGCCAAUCACUGACGUCCAUUCAGCCGAUAUACAUUAAGUGCCGACUACAUAAACAAACGAUUCUGAAACAAUUAACCCUAACCCUAACCCUACGGUUAGAGUUAGGGUUAGGGUUAGGGUUAAAGCAAAUUUAAAAUGAAAAAUGCAAAUAAAACGAAGCAAAGAUGAAAGAGAGCGGAAUAGCAUUGUUACUGCAUACUUCCUGUUUUAGAGGCAAAACGAGACAGAAUUCUUAACGUUUACGAAACAAUAUAUGUAUGUUGUUUCAUAUCCUAUAACAGUAUUUGGCGCUGUUGAAGCUUGUAUAGCAAAUAAAAAAAAACAGAAAGACAUUUUGUCUUAUCAGUUGAUAA